Molecule: ribosomal RNA, 253 nt
Filed under: uncultured bacterium
Lineage: Bacteria
Description: partial 16S ribosomal RNA
Rfam family: Bacterial small subunit ribosomal RNA
Source: RNAcentral
UACAGAGGGUGCGAGCGUUGUUCGGAAUUAUUGGGCGUAAAGGGUGUGUAGGCGGUUGGAUAAGUGUGGUGUGAAAUCUCCCGGCUCAACUGGGAGGGUGCGCUACAAACUGUCUGACUAGAGUGUGGGAUGGGAAAGUGGAAUUCCUGGUGUAGCGGUGAAAUGCGUAGAUAUCAGGAGGAACACCGGUGGUGUAGACGGCUUUCUGGACCAUAACUGACGCUGAGACACGAAAGCGUGGGUAGCAAACAGG